UACGUAGGAUGCAAGCGUUGUUCGGAAUUACUGGGCGUAAAGAGUACGUAGGCGGUAUGUUAAGUCGGAUGUGAAAGCCCUUGGCUCAACUAAGGAAGUGCAUCCGAAACUGGCAAGCUGGAGUACUAAAGAGGGUCGCGGAAUUCCCGGUGUAGAGGUGAAAUUCGUAGAUAUCGGGAGGAACACCGGUGGCGAAGGCGGCGACCUGGGUAGAUACUGACGCUGAGACGCGAAAGUGUGGGGAGCGAACAGG
RNAcentral lists this ribosomal RNA (253 nucleotides) under uncultured bacterium. Its description in RNAcentral is "partial 16S ribosomal RNA". It matches the Rfam family "Bacterial small subunit ribosomal RNA", at positions 524 to 776 of the family's 1533-position model. The record is from RNAcentral.